AGUGAGCGCUGGCGGUAGGCCUAACACAUGCAAGUCGAACGGCAGCACAGUAAGAUCUUGCUCUUACGGGUGGCGAGUGGCGGACGGGUGAGGAAUACAUCGGAAUCUACUUUUUCGUGGGGGAUAACGUAGGGAAACUUACGCUAAUACCGCAUACGACCUACGGGUGAAAGCAGGGGAUCUUCGGACCUUGCGCGAUUGAAUGAGCCGAUGUCGGAUUAGCUAGUUGGCGGGGUAAAGGCCCACCAAGGCGACGAUCCGUAGCUGGUCUGAGAGGAUGAUCAGCCACACUGGAACUGAGACACGGUCCAGACUCCUACGGGAGGCAGCAGUGGGGAAUAUUGGACAAUGGGCGCAAGCCUGAUCCAGCCAUACCGCGUGGGUGAAGAAGGCCUUCGGGUUGUAAAGCCCUUUUGUUGGGAAAGAAAAGCAGCAGGUUAAUACCCCGCUGUUCUGACGGUACCCAAAGAAUAAGCACCGGCUAACUUCGUG
This 492-nucleotide ribosomal RNA is filed under the name uncultured bacterium. Its description in RNAcentral is "partial 16S ribosomal RNA". It matches the Rfam family "Bacterial small subunit ribosomal RNA", at positions 29 to 507 of the family's 1533-position model. The record is from RNAcentral.